UUCUCCCCUCUUUCUGCGUGCCUACUCCAUGCAAGUCGAGCGAACAGAUGAGGAGCUUGCUCCUCUGACGUUAGCGGCGGACGGGUGAGUAACACGUGGAUAACCUACCUAUAAGACUGGGAUAACUUCGGGAAACCGGAGCUACUACCGGAUAAUAUAUUUAACCGCAUGGUUCAAUAGUGAAAGACGGUUUUGCUGUCACUUAUAGAUGGAUCCGCGCCGCAUUAGCUAGUUGGUAAGGUAACGGCUUACCAAGGCAACGAUGCGUAGCCGACCUGAGAGGGUGAUCGGCCACACUGGAACUGAGACACGGUCCAGACUCCUACGGGAGGCAGCAGUAGGGAAUCUUCCGCAAUGGGCGAAAGCCUGACGGAGCAACGCCGCGUGAGUGAUGAAGGUCUUCGGAUCGUAAAACUCUGUUAUUAGGGAAGAACAAAUGUGUAAGUAACUAUGCACGUCUUGACGGUACCUAAUCAGAAAGCCACGGCUAACUACGUG
This 498-nucleotide ribosomal RNA is filed under the name uncultured bacterium. Its description in RNAcentral is "partial 16S ribosomal RNA". It matches the Rfam family "Bacterial small subunit ribosomal RNA", at positions 36 to 507 of the family's 1533-position model. The record is from RNAcentral.